AGUGUGUUGUGUUGUUGUUGUGUGAGCCGAGUGUGUGAGCCGAGUGUGUGAGCUGUGGCAGUAACAAUGCCUUCAGUUCAGUAUCUGAGAGAGUUUAUCAACGAGCGACUAACUGCUGCUGCUGAACAAAUAUUCUUGGAGUUUGAAAAAACGAUCGUCCAGUACGAGGAAGAGAUCGACCGUCAGCGCAGACUGCUGGAUAUCACCUGGAAACCC
Molecule: long non-coding RNA, 216 nt
Organism: Oreochromis niloticus (Nile tilapia)
Lineage: Eukaryota; Metazoa; Chordata; Actinopteri; Cichliformes; Cichlidae
Exons: 3
Source: RefSeq, a predicted model, not a curated record